UCAUUAUUUUAAUUAGUUUGUGUUUUUUUAUAUAUCACAAUGAUUAAUUGGCUGUGAUUGAUUGAUUUUAAAAUGUAAGAGCCUUGGGGUGUUUAAGUCUAGUGUGCGCAAUAAAACGGCUCCUGAGGGCUGUAUUGAUGAAGGCUACAUAGCAACCAAGUUGGUGACAUUCUGCUCGGGGUAUCUGAAAAACGCACCAACCUUCCACAAUAGACCCCAAUGAAAUCCUGAUGGUCUAAAGGGGGUGGGAACACGAGUCAGCCUCAACCUUACUUAGUUGGGCCAGAUUCACCGAUAUAUUUUGUUCAACUCUGACGAGUUUAAUCAAUUGCGAACGAUGCACAUGGAUACGCUUAGGCGAUCAUGCGAUAGAUGACGAACUACAAACGAUCAGUUGGAAGCCCAACAUCAUCGGCAGUUAUUCAGUUGGUACCGUGAUUACGUCGAUAAAUUGGACGAUCAACGUAAAACGGAGAUGACUGAGAAGCCUGUCAUGCAUUGUAGGGGCCCAAAGGAGAUAGCAGUUAGGUAUAACAGGUACAUGAUUAACGUCAAACUAUUUCAGACUGUUGCACAUGAUGCGGGUAAGAGAACUCAGAACAAUGACGUGUGUGUGUCGACCGUUGAUUGCUUAAUGUACUACGGAAAGUUAACGGAUAUAAUUGAAGUCGAGUACUACUACCGGACUAAGUACGUCAUGUUCAAGUGUGAUUGGGCGGACAUCGCGAGGGACAGAGGGUACAAGGUGGACGAGUAUGACAUGGUACUUGUCAACUUCAAUCGCUUUGUCCACAGGGGAGAUCGGGAGAUUGAUGACCCGUACGUGCUAACUUCACAAGUUGACCAAGUAUUUUACAUUGAAGAUGAAAGGAACCCAAGUUGGGUUUGUGCCGUGCGGACUAAACCCAGGAACGUCUACGACGAUGGUUAGGGUGACGGGUCUCAUGAUACAUCUGACACCUACCACGAGUGUGAGCCGUUCUAUUAACCAGAAUUAACGAACAAUGACCCGACUGAUGAUUUUGACAAUGCCCAACCAACUCAGAUCCAAUCUUACAGUUGCCCUAACACUUGACAGAUAUUCCACACCUUGUUUGAAUGUUAGAUCGUCUACUUGCAGCGGUUCAGGUAAUAUGGAGCAUGUUGUUGGCAUUCGUUAGUAACUGUUCAUGUAUCGGCAGUGAGAAAUUCAACUCAUGUGCAUCCAUGAGUAGCUGUUUUAUCAUUGUGUUUUGCGUGUAUUCUUGUUUUGCGUGUAUUCUUUAUGUAUAAUUGUCCAUAUAUAUAUGAAAACA
This is a long non-coding RNA of Alnus glutinosa, 1295 nucleotides long. RefSeq lists it as uncharacterized. The record is from RefSeq and is a predicted model, not a curated record. The transcript is spliced from 5 exons. NCBI's taxonomy places the organism in Eukaryota, Viridiplantae, Streptophyta, Magnoliopsida, Fagales, Betulaceae.